This 254-nucleotide long non-coding RNA is filed under the name Lathyrus oleraceus (garden pea). Its description in RNAcentral is "Pisum sativum (pea) long non-coding RNA (PSAT_LNC002648)". Lineage: Eukaryota; Viridiplantae; Streptophyta; Magnoliopsida; Fabales; Fabaceae. The record is from RNAcentral.
GGAAUGCAAGAGUGGAUUCCAAAGAAGAGGUUUCCUCUAAUCACUCUUAUUCCGAAGAAGAACCAGUGGCUGAUAAUCCUCCGAUUCCACCUCCUUCAUCUCCAAAAAUACUCCUAGGUGACUAUAGAGGUGCAAACACGUCGGGUGGUAGACUGACCAUUAUCAAUCAUUUGGUGAAUGUGAUGAAUUUUCAACUGCAUCCUAGCACAAUCAAUCAACUUGAGAGAAAACCUUUCACCUAAAGGUUAAUGAAG